This 303-nucleotide ribosomal RNA is filed under the name uncultured bacterium. RNAcentral describes it as "bacterial SSU rRNA". It matches the Rfam family "Bacterial small subunit ribosomal RNA", at positions 185 to 507 of the family's 1533-position model. The record is from RNAcentral.
AUCUCGUGGUAGAAGUAUCAAAGCUCUGGCGGUACAGGAUGGACCCGCGUCUGAUUAGCUAGUUGGUAAGGUAACGGCUUACCAAGGCGACGAUCAGUAGCCGACCUGAGAGGGUGAUCGGCCACAUUGGAACUGAGACACGGUCCAAACUCCUACGGGAGGCAGCAGUGGGGAAUAUUGCACAAUGGGCGAAAGCCUGAUGCAGCAACGCCGCGUGAGCGAUGAAGGCCUUCGGGUCGUAAAGCUCUGUCCUCAAGGAAGAUAAUGACGGUACUUGAGGAGGAAGCCCCGGCUAACUACGUG